UACAUAUAUUUACUUAAUAAAUCAAGAAUCAAAGUAAAUAAAUUAAAACUUUGCUGAUAAUUGAGCGGCGUUGAAAUGUGCGUUUCUUGAUUGCCAUCUAUCCUUGUGAUGUCACGAGUAUGCCUUUCUGCAUGAUCGUAUACGUAUUCGACCAUGCUCUGAUGUGUACGCGCGCCAGUGCGGUGUUGUAUAGCGAAUUAACAAAGCGAGUUGUGUAGCGCCGUUGCACACUUGUGACGUUACGAUGUUCUUCGGGUAUAUUCGAUAAUGACAUAAUUAUGAAGUAACACGCAAUAUAGACACGCUAAAAUUGCUCAUGUUGAGGUUGUCUGAUAGAGGAACGAGUGGAUGAAUUUAUAAUAGAAAAUAUAUUGAAAUAAGUAUAGGUAUAAGUACAGGUAUAGUGUAUGCUGAUCCAGAUCCUCACUCUUACAGUGUUACAAUACAAUAGAAGAAGCUAUGAUAGCAUAUAUUUAUAGCAAAAAGGACAUUACCAAAUGUUAACCUUGUAGCUCUAGCUGAAGGCUACAAGAAACAGCAACAGAAAUCUACUUAUAGCUCUUCUGUUUCUAGACCUUAUAAACCAAAACAAAAUUUAUAUUCAAGGGCACAAUAAUAUGGACCUCUCCUUAUUUCUAUAUUGUAUUCUCUUCAUAACAACGAUCUCCAGGUCACGGAUAUACAAAAGAAGAGGUGUAGAGUUUUUCUUGAAGUAAUUACUUCAACAGCUCAGUCAAAAUUAGCGAUAUCUCUUAAGAAUACAAUAAUAUAGAAUAAAAUAAAAUGUAUAUAAAAAAUUAUUUUUAUUCAUUUUUUGAAAAUUAUAGGCUUGAUUAAAUA
Bombus terrestris (buff-tailed bumblebee) is the source of this 840-nucleotide long non-coding RNA. RefSeq lists it as uncharacterized. The transcript is spliced from 2 exons. The record is from RefSeq and is a predicted model, not a curated record. NCBI's taxonomy places the organism in Eukaryota, Metazoa, Arthropoda, Insecta, Hymenoptera, Apidae.